CCUACGGGGGACAGCAGUGAGGAAUAUUGGUCAAUGGACGAGAGUCUGAACCAGCCAAGUAGCGUGAAGGAUGACUGCCCUAUGGGUUGUAAACUUCUUUUAUAUGGGAAUAAAACGUUCCACGUGUGGGAUUUUGUAUGUACCAUAUGAAUAAGGAUAGGCUAACUCCGUGCCAGCAGCCGAGGUAAUACGGAGGAUCCGAGCGUUAUCCGGAUUUAUUGGGUUUAAAGGGAGCGUAGGUGGAUUGUUAAGUCAGUUGUGAAAGUUUGCGGCUCAACCGUAAAAUUGCAGUUGAAACUGGCAGUCUUGAGUACAGUAGAGGUGGGCGGAAUUCGUGGUGUAGCGGUGAAAUGCUUAGAUAUCACGAAGAACUCCGAUUGCGAAGGCAGUUCACUGGACUGCAACUGACACUGAGGCUCGAAAGUGUGGGUAUCAAACAGGAUUAGAUACCCUGGUAGUC
This 460-nucleotide ribosomal RNA is filed under the name uncultured bacterium. Its description in RNAcentral is "partial 16S ribosomal RNA". It matches the Rfam family "Bacterial small subunit ribosomal RNA", at positions 338 to 795 of the family's 1533-position model. The record is from RNAcentral.